CAGGUUCAAGUUCAAUCACAAAUUCUAGUUCUCGUGCUAGUGGCAACCCAGGCAGUUCUUCAGGAAAGACAUCAGCAUACUCCUUAACUAUUGACACUUGUUCGAUUUUUGAUUAAGUCAUUUCUGAAUCAAGAAUGUAGGCUAAAUAAGCUUCACAACCCUUUUUAAUCAAUUAUGGAGCUGUCAAUACCGAAAUUACAUUUGUAAUACAAUUGACCCCAUCUGCCUUAACACAAAUAAGUUCACC
RNAcentral lists this long non-coding RNA (247 nucleotides) under Gossypium barbadense (sea-island cotton). RNAcentral describes it as "long non-coding RNA (GBAR_LNC007288)". Lineage: Eukaryota; Viridiplantae; Streptophyta; Magnoliopsida; Malvales; Malvaceae. The record is from RNAcentral.